Molecule: non-coding RNA, 24 nt
Filed under: Cricetulus griseus (Chinese hamster)
Lineage: Eukaryota; Metazoa; Chordata; Mammalia; Rodentia; Cricetidae
Source: RNAcentral
UCUUGGAGCAUCUGGGAGAAAGAC